This 1091-nucleotide long non-coding RNA is filed under the name Homo sapiens (human). RNAcentral's name for it is "cancer susceptibility 19". Lineage: Eukaryota; Metazoa; Chordata; Mammalia; Primates; Hominidae. The record is from RNAcentral.
GAUAAACCAGUAUUCUGGACUAAGCCAACGUGGGAGACCCUAGGAGGCCUGUUUGAGAAAGUGACAUUUAAAUUGAGACUUGGCGGUGGCUGUGGCUACAUAUCUAAUUGCAAACUCCUAGAGAAGGGCUCAACAGUGAGUGCUGAGGCUGCACAGAGGAGGAAGGCAGCACAAUGAUGGAAGGCUUCCUAAAGAGAUAACACUAACAAAGUUGACCUUAGAAUUGGAGUGCCUGGGUUAGAACCCUGCUGGUACCACCUGCUUACUGCAUGCUUCUGAUGUGAGUUCAGGAGAAGACACUGGCAAGGACAGCAAAGAACAGGAGAACACUCUAGCUUCCCUGAUAGCAUUCAAGGUGCUGUCCAAACUGACUGUGAUGGCACCCUCCAGACAGACAGCGAUGCCACAUGUUCAAGAUGGCAGAAUCACUAUCAGCUUCAAUUCCUGAAUGACUGCAGAGCAAAAUUUCUUACCUGCAACAUACACUCUAUUUUCAGCCUCCCUGGACUGUUACAUAAUGAUACAUAAAAAUAUUUCUUGUGUUGAGGCAUCCCAAAUUUGAUUUAUUUGUCAUCACAGUCUAUCCUAUGAAUAUAUUUCUGAUCCAAAUAAUGCUAGAUUCAUGAGAGUUUAUAGUCCAGAGAUUUUUUUUUUUUUUUUGAGACAGAAUCUGUCUCCCAGGCUGGGGUGCAGUGGCAUAAUCUUAGCUCACUGCAACCUCUGCCUCCCGGGCUCAAGUGAUCCUCCCUCCUUAGCCUCCAUGAGUAGCUGGGACCACAGGUGUGCACCACCACACCCCGCUAAUUAUUUUGUAUUUUUUGCAGAGGGGGGUUUCACCACAUUGCCCAAGCUGGUCUCAAACUCCUAGACUUAAGGGAUCUGCCUGCCUUGGCCUCCCAAAAUGCUGAAAUUACACUUGUUAGCCAUAGUAAUAGUUCCUAGCCAUAGUCCGGAGAUAUUUUAAAAACUUUAGUGUGAGUUAUUUCUCUUUGCUAUAAUUCUCUCAUGCAUUUUGAAAACCUUUUCUGCCAUACAGUGGUUUUUGGGAAGUCCUUUUGGACAGACAUAUCACAGGAUGGAGAAACUAAAAA